RNAcentral lists this long non-coding RNA (1291 nucleotides) under Homo sapiens (human). RNAcentral describes it as "HSALNT0083935". The record is from RNAcentral. Lineage: Eukaryota; Metazoa; Chordata; Mammalia; Primates; Hominidae.
CGGGGAUGCGGUCUGGAUUCUGGAGGAGGCCUCGGCGCGCAGCUGGGCGAGUACUAACUGUUUGCACUCUCAUCAGACCUGCCUCGGUCAUGGGAGAAGUUGAAGACUUUCUGCAAUGCAGCAUCUUCAAGCAAUACACACAUGGAUGAAAAUCCUAAAGUUUGCAUGAAGGACCAAUAACGGUAGUUUCCCUGCCCCUCUACCAGAACCCCUGGGAUCAGCGCCUGCCUGCCUCCUUUCUUCUAUGUAAUCGGCGGCCACCUCCCCUAGCUCUUGCUGCUAACCAUGCUUCCCGGACACCUGCUGCCUUCGUAGUGCCUAGAAACAGGCAAAGUGAGGGAGCUCCUUUGCUAGAUGAUCUUCAGAGCCUCUCCCAGCUGUGACCAGAAAUGGAAAGCCAGAGAAGGAUGCCUCGGGGUGGAAACGGGAUGACAGCCAGUGGUUUCUCCACACAUGGACUUGCCAGAACCUUUCCCGAAAUGCUAGGUUGGAAAACUCACAGCUGAUUAAUUACCGCAGUCCACGGCUUACUCCGUCGGGUGGACACAGCGUCCCUCCCCUCUGGAGGAUGCAGCAACAAAAUGCCUCCUUGGAAGCUGAGAGCAGCCCUCACUGGACAACAGAACCUGCUGGCGCUGUGAUCUUGGACUUCCCAACCUCCAGAACAAUGCACGGUCACCAAUGGAAGACACGCAACCAAUUCUUGGGGAAAGCGUUUGAAUCAGAACACCAAGGGAACAGUGCAUCUCCUUGCAUCCUAAAUUCCGCAAGUCAAGAUGGAGAUUAGGGCUGACUCCACCUGGCAGAGCUAAGGACACUUUGAAGCACACACCAAAUUCUUCUGGUGAGGCUUCAUUGUGAGGUAGGCUGGGGGUGUGGAUCUAACCCAAGCAAGACAGCCUGCACCCUCACCUGCUCCUUGCUGAGUCCUGGAGAGCUGGGGGACUCCAGGUGUCGUGGCCAUCGUCCCCGUACCUUGCCCAGGUGGGUGGACACAGAGAGAGAUGCAUUGAAGUAUUCUGGAAAGCAAUGAUAAAAAGAUGGGGAAGUGUCUUUUGAGCUCCCUUAACACACAGCCAACUGCACUGUCUUGUCCCAGCGGCCAGUGCACAGAGAGAAGUCUCCAUGCUGUUCUGUUCCUCCAUACAGAAACAUUUCAAUAAACAACCUUCAAUGCAGCGUCUCCUGCUUAACGUGAAGUGUCUUGUCAGCCAACCCAGCACAGCGUGGCUCUAUCCUAGGGAGUGGCUUUAAGCCUUUCAUGCAAUUCAUACCCCCAGUCCAAGUUAGG